GAUUGAACGCUGGCGGCGUGCUUAACACAUGCAAGUCGAUCGGUAACAGGUGUAGCAAUACAUGCUGACGAGAGGCGGACGGGUGAGUAAUGCUUGGGAAUCUGCCUAUUAGUGGGGGACAACCCGGGGAAACUCGGGCUAAUACCGCAUACGCUCUACGGAGGAAAGCCGGGGACCGCAAGGCCUGGCGCUAAUAGAUGAGCCCAAGUCGGAUUAGCUAGUUGGUAGGUAACGGCCUACCAAGGCGACAAUCCGUAGCUGGUCUGAGAGGACGACCAGCCACACCGGAACUGAGACACGGUCCGGACUCCUACGGGAGGCAGC
This 324-nucleotide ribosomal RNA is filed under the name uncultured bacterium. Its description in RNAcentral is "bacterial SSU rRNA". It matches the Rfam family "Bacterial small subunit ribosomal RNA", at positions 27 to 352 of the family's 1533-position model. The record is from RNAcentral.